Chiroxiphia lanceolata (lance-tailed manakin) is the source of this 1172-nucleotide long non-coding RNA. RefSeq lists it as uncharacterized. Lineage: Eukaryota; Metazoa; Chordata; Aves; Passeriformes; Pipridae. The transcript has 3 exons. The record is from RefSeq and is a predicted model, not a curated record.
UGAAAGGGAAAUCGUGCCAAAAGUUGCAUCUGUGCCUUUUGAAAGAUGGUGAUAAAAAAGCAAAAGAAAUUUCUUCAUUUUCAAGAUAGCUUCACAAAGAAACCAACCAGAUAUGGAAACACCCUUCAUCACCAGUGGCUCUCGCAUGCGAUGUCCUUGGAUGCCCAAAAGAUUAGUCAGUCUGAACCACCUGGCUCAUGUAACAGGGAUCAAAGACAUUUCUCCAUCUACAAACUUAAGCUCAUGCUCUCUGAAAGUGAAGACGACAAAUUGAAAGUUAUGGUCUAAGAAAAUUAAUAGGGACAUGUGACUCUUGAGGGGUCAAAAUUGUGGACCAGUCCUCUCAUGUGGCAAUGCACUAUAAGCAACAAAAAAGGUUCUUCUACACUGGUAUUUUUCACAGUUCAGCUUCAGUCAUCAGCCUGCGCCAUAGGACCAUUAUUGACCACUACAGCUGCAUCACUUGCACCAUGGCACUUUUUGACAUCCAGGAGAACUCAAUACUUCUGCUGUAAAGAAUGUGGAUAUGAAGACCAGCCUGUAUGUUUGUGUUCUUGAAUGUCUUCUACUUGAAGAAAAAGCUAUGUGCUAUUGGAUAGGGUCAUUUAAAGCAUCAGAAGCAAAAAAACCCAAACAUCAGGAAGUGGGAGAAAGACAUGCUUCUUGAACAUUACUCAUUUGAAUCAUGGAGCUGUAUAGAAGCAGAUAUUGUAUGAUGCAGUUGAUGUGUGACAGAGUACCAAACAGACAUUCUUCAAGAAGUCAGUUCUAUCUUCCCUAAGUCAUCAGUAUUCCCUUAGUAGGCCAUAUUUUUUAGGAAAUCACUCAGCAUGUGUAUGAGCUCUCUCAGUCCUAAAUUCUUCCAAGCUGCAUAUUUCUUCUGGCGUAAAAAUUUGAGACAGUGUAUCCCAUGAGUUGCUGUGAAGGCAUUGAAGCCACAUUCCUCAUUUUUAAGGGGCUGGUAUGGUGGCAUACAGGAAUCUAAUGUUCCGUGCUAUUUAUGAUUUUCUGCUUUAUUGUAGAAAUAAUUCUGUUUGUAGUUUUUAUAAACUUCAAGUCUUGAAUGCGCAGUACUGCCGGUCACAAUUUUGUUUGUCGGCUGUUCCAUCUUAAAUGAAGAAAUAUUAUAUGUUGUUAACACCCUGAUCUCCAAGGGUUUGUGAAAAAAAAUA